AACGAACGCUGGCGGCAGGCCUAACACAUGCAAGUCGAACGCACCGCAAGGUGAGUGGCGCACGGGUGAGUAACACGUGGGAAUGUACCCUUUGGUUCGGAAUAACGUUUGGAAACGAACGCUAAUACCGGAUGAGCCCUACGGGGGAAAGAUUUAUCGCCAAAGGAGCAGCCCGCGUCUGAUUAGCUAGUUGGUGGGGUAAAGGCCUACCAAGGCGACGAUCAGUAGCUGGUCUGAGAGGAUGAUCAGCCACACUGGGACUGAGACACGGCCCAGACUCCUACGGGAGGCAGCAGUGGGGAAUAUUGGACAAUGGGCGGAAGCCUGAUCCAGCCAUGCCGCGUGAGUGAUGAAGGCCUUCGGGUUGUAAAGCUCUUUCGCACGCGACGAUGAUGACGGUAGCGUGAGAAGAAGCCCCGGCUAACUUCGUGCCAGCAGCCGCCGUAA
Molecule: ribosomal RNA, 447 nt
Filed under: uncultured bacterium
Lineage: Bacteria
Description: partial 16S ribosomal RNA
Rfam family: Bacterial small subunit ribosomal RNA
Source: RNAcentral